CAGGUACACACAUCUUCUAAUGGUGCAGUCAGACACCUCCAUACCAACAGACAUGCACAGCGCCUUGCAUCCCACCCCCACCCUGAGACACACACACACACACACACGCACGCACAUGCACACGCACACCCAUACCCCUUACACAGAGGAAGGCCGGCAGAUAAAUAAAUGCCUGGAAACCUGCAUAUGCACACAGAGACCCCAGAACCAUAAAUGCAACCCUCCUCUCACUCACACAUGCAUUUGCCUCCAAGGGGAACCAGGGAUAUUGACUCUAAUUACUAAGCAAAGUGGCGUGUGCGAUAGAGAGGAACUAGCGAGUGAAUAGAGCGGAGAAAGCUGCAGUGACGGGAACAGGCAGGGCUGGGGGCUGCCAGGUCAGGAGGUGUGCAGGGGAGCGUUGCCCAUCCGAGACUCGGAGCAGCAAUAAGCCACAGCAACAGCCCAGGGGGACCCACAGCAAUAGGAGGGAAGGAAGAUCUCGGAAGAGGAGGCAGGCGGACCCAUGCUUGGUGUGUUGCAGGAGCCCUGGAGUCCUAGAUCCCAGAUACUGAAUGACCCACAGGCUGGGGAGAGAUCUGUCCGGGCUCAGCUUGUGGAGUUCCAGCCUGGACCCUGUCUACCUGCAUCACCGGGUAGGGGGCAGCAGAAGCCUAGGAAGGGAGGUGAAUGGUGGCGACUUAAAAACCAGCCGGGUUGCCCUGGUUCUCUGCGAGCCCUCCGUCCCCACACUCUCUAGACCAACCCAGGCCAACCCUCAAUCCCUGGACUGCACCCUCAGUCUUGUGCCUUCAGUUUUGCCUCAGGUAUUUUGCCUUCUAAACAGAAGCUCUAACCAUCCCAUCUCACUGCCUCCCAACACCAGAAGAUCGAAUUAGCACCACCCCCUUCCUUCCCUAGCUGUCGCUUAAGGAGCCAUCUCUGUAACCUUGGACAAGUCCCUUGUACUCUCUCUGCCUCAGUUUCCCCGUUUGUAAAAUGAAGAGGUCAGAGCAGCCAGAGGCUUUUAACCUGGGAUCCAGGAACUUGUUUUAUUAUUAUUUUGAUAACUGUAUUUCAAUGUGGAUUAUUUCCUUUGUGACCCUAUAUAUUUUAUUUUGUGCAUCGUAAAACAUUAUUCUGAGAAGAGGUGCCUAGGCUUCACCGGACUGUCCGCGGGAUCCAAAACGCGAAAUGGCGAAGAAUCUCUGGACAAGAUGAUUUCAGGGAUACUUUUAAAGCUCUCAAUCUGAUGCUUCUACGAUCUUGCUCUCGCGUGAAACGGAUGGCUGUCUCCUCACCCCGUCUGGCCAGCCCAUGCCCCAUUUUAGAAAAGCCUCCCUCCAUAGGGUCCCGCCUCCUUGCCCCUGCCUAGGGCUCUGUCCUUUGCCUGAGCUCCCCUUGGCCAGACAAAAGCCCUACAGGCCCCUCAGGCGGCUGUCACCCAGGCGCCGGUUGCCAUGGCAACCGCUGGAGCUGUACCAGUCACCUGCCUGGCUCCUGCGGCCCCGCCCUGGUCAGAGAGCUCCACUCCCAGCAGCGGGAGCCACUUAAGUACUGGCAGGGUUUCCAGCUGUCUCCGCCCCCCUCCUCCUUUCCACUCCCCCAGGUUUCUCCGUUCUCCCUCACUCUUUCCUCCCCACCCUUGCCCCAAUAACUGCAUGAAAAAAAAAAAAGCCAAAUAGGAUGCAUAGGGAGACUCAGGGGCUACCAGUUAAGCUCCUUGGUUCUCUGUGGGGUCCCCGCUUUUCGGGGUGGAGGGAGUUAGCAUGAGGGGAAGGAGAUCCACCAAAUGUUCUCUGGGAGGGGCAAAAGAUGCAGGGGUCAAGGAUCUGGAUUUGAGCCCAUUCUCUGACAUCUAAUGUGUGACCUGGACCACUCACCUACCCUUUGGGGCCU
This is a long non-coding RNA of Phascolarctos cinereus (koala), 1878 nucleotides long. The record is from Ensembl. NCBI's taxonomy places the organism in Eukaryota, Metazoa, Chordata, Mammalia, Diprotodontia, Phascolarctidae.